CUACGGGAGGCACCAGUAAGGAAUAUUGCGCAAUGGAGGCAACUCUGACGCAGCCAUGCCGCGUGCAGGAAGAAGGCCUUAUGGGUCGUAAACUGCUUUUAUUUAGGAAUAAACCCCCGAACGUGUUCGGGGCUGAAGGUACUAAACGAAUAAGCACCGGCUAACUCCGUGCCAGCAGCCGCGGUAAUACGGAGGGUGCAAGCGUUAUCCGGAUUUAUUGGGUUUAAAGGGUGCGCAGGCGGGCUAUUAAGUCAGUGGUGAAAUCCCGGGGCUCAACUCCGGAACUGCCAUUGAUACUGAUAGUCUUGAGUUUGGUUGAAGUGGGCGGAAUGUGGCAUGUAGCGGUGAAAUGCAUAGAUAUGCUACAGAACACCAAUCGCGAAGGCAGCUCACUAAGCCAAAACUGACGCUCAUGCACGAAAGCGUGGGGAUCAAACAGGAUUAGAUACCCCUGUAGUC
RNAcentral lists this ribosomal RNA (459 nucleotides) under uncultured bacterium. RNAcentral describes it as "partial 16S ribosomal RNA". It matches the Rfam family "Bacterial small subunit ribosomal RNA", at positions 339 to 795 of the family's 1533-position model. The record is from RNAcentral.